Myxocyprinus asiaticus (Chinese sucker) is the source of this 2523-nucleotide long non-coding RNA. RefSeq lists it as uncharacterized. The transcript is spliced from 2 exons. The record is from RefSeq and is a predicted model, not a curated record. NCBI's taxonomy places the organism in Eukaryota, Metazoa, Chordata, Actinopteri, Cypriniformes, Catostomidae.
GAUGAAGAUUCUGCCAUUGUUCUUCCUCUCUUUAAGCCUUUUUAGGACACAACAAUCCAACAUCUCAUUUCACAGCAUAAAACCUGACCAAAGUAUGUGAAGUAUUAAAGAUGAACUUCUUAAGAGGAAAUUCAGUACACUUCUGAAAGAACUGAAAUACAAAAUCUCCAGGAGUCACAGUGCAGAACAUAGAAACAGAUCUUUACAACAACACUUUAACAUCAUCAUGAAAGACUCUUUCUAUAUAUGAAAGACUAAAUCAAGCAAAAAAGAUGAAACAUUUUCACUGGACUUUGUUCAUUCUGUCUGCAGUUCAAAUACUUCCUGUUUCUGACAUCUUCAAGUUAUUUGACAACAUGACAGCACACAUCAAACUCUGAUUUAUAACAGAUUAAAUUAUAUUCUGAUACUAAUUCAGUAAACUAGUUCGAGUAUUUAACUCGUGUUUAAAUCUGGUUUUGUGCAGUUUUAUUCCAGUGUGACACAAACUCCUCUGAAUCAGACCACUAACAUUAGAAACCUGUUCAGGGAAAUUUCUCUUAUAUUUCUAUUAUCACUUACCUGUGAGUGAGUAUCAGCUGUGAUCACUAAAGUUUUACAAUGUCUGAAUAAAUAUUCUGCCGUUUGAAGAGAGAAAAAGUUGAAAGACUUCCUGUUUUAAAAACAGUUUCACUUUUACCUUGUGAAGGUGAUGUCAUAGCUCCGCCCCUGUCUUCUCAUGAAUAUGUAACAGGUAUAAACUCAUUCCUAUUGGCUGUGUUGUGUGUGUCUGUAUUAAGUGUGAUCAUAUAAAACUGAUUUCACACAGGUGUGUUUUAAGUGUGUAAUUCAAAAAACAUCAUUGUCCAGACUCUGGAUCAAAUGUUCAUGUUUGUCUGACUCAUGAAGUUCACAGUAAUAAUUGAUUGAUUGUGUGAUUGUGUGUUUUUCCUCUUUCGGUCUCUAGGUUGACGCUGUGGUCAGUAAAGAGUUGACAGUCAAGAUCACAUUCCAGAAUCCACUGUUGAUCCAUAUAGAGCAGCGGUUCUCAACCUGUUUUGGAUGAACUCCCCCCUACUUCAUUCCCUGACCAUGGAACGAAUUUUACAGUUUUGUUAAUAAAUUAAGCUGGUUUACACAUCAUCAACAUGAAACCAAACCUUGAGUGUCUUGAAUUCAAGCAGAUGGAUGGAGGGCUCCAGACUAACAUUUAAUGCAGUGGCACCGGUGCAACCAAGUUCUGCAGUGUGUGCAUCAGCACCUGAUUUAAUAGCACCAGUGAAUUUAUUUUAUUUUAUUUUAUGUAAUUAAGGACAGAUACUAAUAAUAAAAGUAAUAUUAUUUUUAUUAACAUUAUUUUAUAUAUAAGUUCAGUUACCAAUAAUAUUGCAUAUUUUGUUACUAUGAAAUGCACAUUUGACAGUAAACAUUAAUUUUGAGUUGGGAUGCAGAUGUAACUGUUGUUAAUAUUAGUAAAUAUACAUCUAUAAACAGUUAAUAAUUUGAUAUACCUAAUUUAUAUUUGUCUAAAUGUAAAUAUUCUGAGUCUGACUAAGACUGUGAUUCCUACUGGUUAAGUACUCUCUUCACGUGAUUAAGUAAUCUCUUGGAAUUUCUGAAGGCAAACCAAACCAGUUACUUUUUCCUGCAAUAAAAGAGAAUUACAACAGAUUUGACACAGCAGGAAAACUCAUAGCUUGGUCCAUAAAAAUGAUGAAACAUUAUAUGGUUCUUCCACACAUAGUUCCUCCAUAAUACACUGAUAUUUGUAAUUAUAACACAAAAAUACAAUAAGAUCAUGUAUGGCUCAUUACAACCUGGUAACUCCUAUAAAACAAAUCAUGUUAUGUUUGUUAUGUAAAUACAUACAAAACUAUAGAUUUAGAAACUAUAAAUUCAAAAUAUAAACAUUUUGAAAUUGCCAUAGUUGUAACAGAAAUAAAUUGGCCUAUAUUCCCUCAUUCCCCUAAUGUAUUUAAUGGAGCUAUUUACAAAAUAUAAUUAGUAUGAAUAUGCCACAUUUCUGCAAAAUACAAAGAGAUGAAGAGAGAGAAAGAGAGAGAGAGAGAGAGAGAGAGAGAGCAGAUAUCAAUGCAGGGAAGUUGAAUGGAUUCUCAAGAAGAAUAUUAUUUUACUAAUUUGCUCUCAGCACCCCCUGGCAUCCUUUGAACGCCCCGUUGAGAAACCCUGAUAUAGAGGGAUUGGGAAUGAAUAUUCAGAUUGCGUGUCAGACAGAUUGAGUUUGGGUAAAAUGCUUCAUUUUACUUUGAAUAGUGUUUUAAUUUGAGGUGUGAUGUUUUCAUGCACUUUAGAUUUGGUCACUGUUAAACCGGUCAUUUUAAUCUUGUUGAGAGCUCUGCCAAAGGUAAAUUCACCACAUUUGCCAAGAAUUUUACUGAAAUAAAUGAAUCGAUAUUGCCAUAAUUUUGUUAUUUAUUAUAUAUAUCAUGUUAUAUAUCAUAUUUAUUUUAUUUGUAUUAUUUGAUAUUUUCUUUAUCACCAAUAUGAACAUUUUCAGUAAAUAAAAAUGACACUUUGUAUCAA